Non-coding RNA from Rattus norvegicus (Norway rat), 2787 nucleotides. Lineage: Eukaryota; Metazoa; Chordata; Mammalia; Rodentia; Muridae. The record is from RefSeq and is a predicted model, not a curated record.
CUACAUCUAAGUGAAUCUAGGAGAGAGUCACCCCUGUGUCUUUAUUAGCAUGACUCUCUCCAUAGUUGUCAGCUGUCUGAUGAAGUAAAACAAUAGUUUCUACCCUGCUUUUCAAAGGGAGAAAGAGACGGAUUUUGACCUGUCCAAAGUCAGUCUUGACCCUGUGAAGGGAAUCUGGGAGCUGCUAGCCUUGCUCCUUGCCACCUUUUGAUGUGUGUUUCCAUUUAGGUUGAAUGACAUGUACUCCGUUGUCAUGGUUUUAAAAGGACCUCUCUGCAAGUCUGGCUUCUGCAUCAAGUUCUGGACUAAAAUUAUGUUUAAAUUUUGUUUCCUCUCAUCUCUCCCUGGUUUUGAUUAUUGCUUAAGAAUAGUUGAUGGUCUCAUGACACAAUCCUUUACUUUUGUAUUUUGUGUCUUGUGUUUUGAAUUUUAUGUGAAAUGGUGGGUUUGAUCUUUGACCUCUGUUUACUGUAAUACUGAUUUACCACUAAUUUGAUAGCAAGCCAUAGGGAUCUACUGUAAACACGCUGCUCACUUUACACCGCUCUGUUUGACUCUUAAGUGGAGAAAUGUGUGCGUAGAAUACGAUUGAGAGACGUGCAGAAGUAACAGAACCCAUAUAACUUCCCAAGUUCCCAGGUAGCAGUCGUAUUAAUAUAAAACCUUCCUGUGAUGUGAGAGCCUAGUAAAUUAAGAGGAAGUCAGCAAUGUAAACAGGCACAACCUAGCAUUCAGUUUUAGUGUGGUCAAUAUAUUCACCCUGAAAUACAGAAACACAGCCCGGACCACACAGCAUGGCCUAAGCUGGUUAAGCUCUGAACCCAGAGAACCCUGGCCACAGGCGUGCUCAGUGCGAUCGGCCCUGGAUCUAUUUGCUGAUCCUGGGGAAGGAAAGGAUUGACUCGGGCACACAGGAUGGGAGCGUGCUGGCUUGAGAGUGGCUACACAGGCAUCUGGGAGCUGAGAGGAGUCUGUCCUGCUGUAUGGUGAUAUGCCCAUGGCUUUUCUUUCCCAGUUAUCAGACUUUGUGCACGAGAUUCUUCUUAGCUCCCAACCCCAUAGUCUACAAGGGGUGAGGAGAGGCAGGGUUUUCCCUAUCAUGGCUGUACCUAUGGGAGCAGCAUCCUCAAGAAGAUGGAUUGUGGCCAGGAAAAUAUUGGGGACAAAACCACUAUCUCUUCCUCCUGCUAUGCCUGUGAGGUGGUAGGAGGAGAGGUAAAAUGAGCAAAAGGGUUGGCUCAUCAGUCAGUGCAGACCCCAUUGUUUCUGGUCAUCCUGUGACUCUGAGCAUUGAAUACAGACAAGCAUGGAUUAUUGUCCUGGAAACACUUAGAGCCAACUGAAAUAGACAAUUGUCAUGUUCAACCUGUUCCACCUUUUCUUUUCCAUCUCAUUUCUCUUUACCAUAUUUACAAAGAUAGCAUGAGAAUGAAAUUAUUUGUUUAUCCUGAAAAUAUUUAUGGAAUCUCCUCCUUUAUGCACAACCAAAAUAUUAUGGAAGAGAGAAAAAUACAUGAUGCAUAGGCAUCCUGGACAGGAGAUGCAUUCUGCUGGAGCUGCAGAAUAUGUUUGUGUGUGCUUGCACACAUGCUUGUAUGUGGGCAUGUUUUUGUGUGUGUGCAUGUGUGUGCACAUUCGUCUGUGUGUGUGUGUGUGUGUGUGUGUUUGCAUGUUUGGAGGUGAAAGGAGCUCACUACUCUAUCAAUUUAGAUACCUAUAAGGUGAAUGAUGUCACAAAGUCAGGCAGAAUUCUAUGAAAAAGGAAUACUGGCAACAAUGACAUCCAUCAACCCAGAAGAAGAGGGCCAAGGGUGGGUUUGCCUACAGUGACCGAACUAGAACUUAAAAUCUGCCACUGAGCCUGGAAAAGUGGGAGAUGUGUUUGUGGAAUAAAGCUAACUUGAAGGAAAAGCUUCAUGAACACUUCAGAUGCUUCAAGAGGCCCAAAGUUCAGCCCUGAUUCGGCUGAUUGCUGACGCGAUUUUAGCACGUCUAUUCUGUCAGCUGUUGCUGUGUGCAUCUGUAACUGGAAAUUCUAGCAGCUCUCCCAACUCUUACUAGGAGUUCUGUACUGAUCUAAUAAGGUGAUACACAUGAAAACACUAAGGGACAUCAGCAUAUGGGACAGAUUAAAGCACACCAGAAAUACCAUCCCAGGUUUGACUUUAAUUCCUUAAGUAAUAAGGAGUCAUUAAAGACCUUUGAAGAAGGAGUAAAUGGUAUGAGGUACAAGGUAUAAGGAACUGAAUUCUCCUCUCCAGACCCCUGGCAAUCAGUCUCUCUUCUCUGCUGACAGUUCCGUAUGAUGAUUGCCUGGGCCAAAAUUUACAUGUGACACAGCAACAGCAGCAGCAACAGCAGCAGCAGCAACAGCAGAGCAGCAACACAACAGCAGGAACAACAGUAGCAACAGCAACAAUAGCAACAGUAACAGCAAUAACAACAGCAGCAGCAACAACAGCAACAGCAACAGCAGAACAGCAAUAAGGACAACAGCAACAACAGCAACAGUAACAGCAACAACAGCAGCAGCAGCAGCAGCAACAGUAACAGCAACACCAGCAGCAACAGCAACAAAAGCAGCAAUAGUAACAGCAGCAACAACAGCAGCAGCAACAGCAGCAGCAACAACAGCAGCAGCAGUAGCAGCAGCAACAACAACAAAUCCCAAACUUUAGCUCCUGCUCCCAUGGGUUUGUAAGGUUGGGGCUCCCCAAAUGCUUCUUAUGCAAAUAAAACUUGAGAUCUCCUGUUCUCUCCCCCCCCAAUAAAAUACAGUUCCAAUGU